Non-coding RNA from Vicugna pacos (alpaca), 574 nucleotides. Lineage: Eukaryota; Metazoa; Chordata; Mammalia; Artiodactyla; Camelidae. The record is from RefSeq and is a predicted model, not a curated record.
UGUUGAAGGAAGAUUAAGAAGAAAACAGGGCAUGAGUCUGUUUUAUCAUCUUUUCCUGGGCAAAGCUCUGUUGUGGUGGGUUUUUUUUCUUCCAGUGACUGAUUAAAUGUUCGUGCCUGUGGCAAUGGGGAUCCUUAAAAAUAACCAAAUAUUGUAAAGCACUGAGUUUUUCAUAACCAUACAGCGUGGUCUCAAAUUAAUCUUUUAUUUUUCUCAUAAUAGGUAUCAGCACAAAAAUAGCGUCUGACAUCAGCACAGUGCUGUAGGCUUCACAAAGUGCUUUCAUGUGCAUGAUCUCCAUCCUAACAAAACAGUGAUGGAGGCAGUGUCUGCAUGCAUCUCCCUGUCUGUUUUCAAGUCAUACAAGGUAACUACAAGAUACCAAAUAUAUUCCCUGUGCUAUACAAUAACCUAAAGGAAUCUUGAAAGUAAAACUUGAAUUGGUCAAAUUGCUUGUAGGUAACUUUACUGCAUCCUGGAACAAAAGCCAAGAAUAUCUGUAGUAAUACAAAACUAUUCACUACUCAAAAAGGUAAAACCCACAAUGUUGGGCAUCCAAUAAAAAAAUUUACAG